Molecule: ribosomal RNA, 290 nt
Filed under: uncultured bacterium
Lineage: Bacteria
Description: partial 16S ribosomal RNA
Rfam family: Bacterial small subunit ribosomal RNA
Source: RNAcentral
GGCGAACGCUGGCGGCAUGCCUAACACGUGCAAGUCGAACGGACGCGAGGAGCUUGCUCCUCAAGUUAGUGGCGGACGGGUGAGUAAUGCGUGGGAAUCUGCCCUUGGGUUCGGAAUAACUCGCCGAAAGGCGUGCUAAUACCGGAUGAUGACGUAAGACCAAAGAUUUAUCGCCCAGGGAUGAGCCCGCGUAAGAUUAGGUAGUUGGUGAGGUAAAGGCUCACCAAGCCGACGAUCUUUAGCUGGUCUGAGAGGAUGAUCAGCCACACUGGGACUGAGACACGGCCCAG